Taeniopygia guttata (zebra finch) is the source of this 2366-nucleotide non-coding RNA. Lineage: Eukaryota; Metazoa; Chordata; Aves; Passeriformes; Estrildidae. The record is from RefSeq and is a predicted model, not a curated record.
GUUUUGUUUGUUUGUUUCUUUGUUUUCUUUGUUUGUUUUGGGGUUAUUUCCAUUUUUUCUUGUCUGGUUUUGUUUUUGUAAGACCCUUAAAAACCCUUUUCUUUUGGUCAACACCUGGAACUGUUGUUACAGGACAAGAGCCUUCAAACUGAAAGAAAGUAGAUUUGGAUUAGAUAUUAGGGAAAAAAAUCUUUGCUGUGGAGGUGGUGAGGCACUGUCACAGGUUGACCAAAGAAGCUGUGAAUGUCCCAUUUCUGGAAUUGUUCAAAGCCAGGUUGAAUUGGGCUUUGAGAAACCUGGUAUAGUGAUUGGUUAGGCAUGGCAAGGGGUUGGAACUAGAUGGUCUUUGAGGUCCCUUACAACUCAAACCGUUCUAUGAUUCUAAUGAAACAUUUAAAAAUGUUUGCUCUAGAGCAAUCUGUAAAGAAUUCUGUUUUUUCUCAUUGUUUCACCUUUAUUUUACUUUAUAACAGGUUUGAACCCAUUGAUCCAUUUCAACCAAGAUUGAUAAAAUAAAAUAAGCAGUACACUUACAGGAAAUAUUCUAGACAGCAUGAUAACAGAUGGUCAGUUUUUUUACUCCCACUCUCGAGAAGACUUCUGCAUGAUUUUAAACUCCUGUAAUAUUGAAAAGGGAAAAAAAAAUACCUCAAACCCCUCUUUAUUGUUGACAAAAACCUCAAUGUGAGCCAGCAGUGGGGGCUGGCAGCCCAGAAAGCCAGAUGUAUCCUGGAUUGCAUCAAAAAGAGCAUGGCCAGCAGGGCAAGGGAGGUGAUUCUGUCCCUGUACUCCCUGUUCUUGUGAGACCCUACCUGGAGUGCUGCAUCUAGCUGUGGUUCCUCCAAAAUAAGAAAGACACAGAAGUGUUGGAGCAAGUCCAGAGGAAGCCAUGAAGGAAUAAGGAGACUGGAACACCUUUCCUAUGAAGACAGGCUGAGAAAGUUGAUGCUCUGUCCCAUUUUACACUAUAUCAUGAUUACUCAUGCUCUAUCCCUUCUUGUUAGUACACGGUGUUUAUUUCUAUUCCAGACUGACCCCAUUCUCAAGAGAAUUUCUAUUCUCGGCAUCUAGGGCAUGAUGAUUCAGUUGCUCAAAUAAAAUAUUCUUAUAUUCCAUUUGCCUUGACAAUACUAUCAUUCCUGGGAAGUGCACAGUGACACUUUUCUGGUGUUUGACCUUUUUGGCAAAUUGGUGGAAAUGGGCACAUCUUUAUCUUGUGCUUUUUGUUUUCAGAUUAUUUUCCAGCAUCCUCUUGAAACUGGUAUAUAUUUUCAUCAUUUGAAUGAAUAUUUGUUCUUCUUUAUUUUUGUAUUUCUGUGAUAACAUCAAUAUGUGUUUAUGAUAUAAUUUUGAUAUUAUGAUAUUACAAUUUUGUCAUCUUGGUUUUCUGGUACAACUCUGUUGUACUUAUUGGUCCAUUUCAAAUUCAUUAAAUAAAUUCAAAUGUUACUGUUUUAGUAUCAUAUAUUUCUGAUAUUUGAAAAUAGCAAUGACUUUUCAAAUUCUUAGGUGGCUUCUGGGAUUCUUGUUUGAAAAUUUUUUCUCCAUCAAAGAGUUGUCCUCUACACUUUCAAAUUAUUACAGAGCAGUUUGUGUUUUGCAAUAAUGUUUGAAAAUUUGUCUAACUGAUGAGGUGGUGUUUCAAAGUUUUGCCUCACUGGUGAGGCAAAAAAACUAUUAAGUGUUUCUUGUAAGAUAACAAGGCUCCAAAUCUCAACUCACUGGAUCAACUUGCAAGGUUACCAGUACUGCAUGUAUGCCAUGCUUGUGUUUCCUCCUCCUCUAUUAUGGUCUCAGUGCAUUGCAUAUGCCUAAGGUUGGAAAGUGAUGAUAUGCUCAAAAUUUGAAUACUCUCUGAGUUAAUACCUUUAAAGGUUGGCAUAUUACAAGGUAUUUUUACCUUCCCAAAAUAUGUUGGUUUCCCUGGGAAAUCAGGAACUGCUCUGUGUAUGAUACUGCAGUCAGGACCAACUUCCUUUUCGUUUGUUUGUAUUAACUGGUAAGGAGAUGGAGUUGUUUGUAAAGGAUUGCCACAGCUUCUGCCAGGCAUUUCUCAUAUCACAUUCCUGAGUAUAAUCAGCUCUGAUGCUGGCUUUGUGAGCCUGGCUGGCAGAGCUGAUAGUCUUUUGCUGUAAGGUUCACUACUAACAGCCUUCUCAACACCUCAGCCUCCUCAGCUGGCUUCCAAAAUAUGAUGAUGAUUGUGUUGCCGAGAUAGGGAAGCUGAAUAGGCCUUGUCAACAUUUUGCUUUUUCAGUGACUGCCAUUCUGCUUAUGUAAUUUUGAGAUUACGUAAAACUAUGUAUUUUUGUGUGUAUUUCAAUAAUCAUUUUCUUGUUCUAAUGCAAUAAAUAGUGUGUAAAGCA